UCAGGCCUAACACAUGCAAGUCGAACGCUAUCUUGUAUAGAGUGGCGCACGGGUGAGUAACGCGUGGGAACCUGCCUUUCUCUGCGGGACAACGGUUGGAAACGACCGCUAAUACCGCAUACGCCCUACGGGGGAGAGGUCAGCCGGAGAAAGAGGGGCCCGCGUUAGAUUAGCUAGUUGGUGGGGUAAUGGCCUACCAAGGCAACGAUCUAUAGCUGGUCUGAGAGGAUGAUCAGCCACACUGGGACUGAGACACGGCCCAGACUCCUACGGGAGGCAGCAGUGGGGAAUAUUGGACAAUGGGGGCAACCCUGAUCCAGCAAUGCCGCGUGUGUGAUGAAGGCCCUAGGGUUGUAAAGCACUUUCACUGGUGAAGAUGAUGACGGUAACCAGAGAAGAAGCCCCGGCUAACUUCGUGCCAGCAGCCGCGGUAAUACGAAGGGGGCGAGCGUUGUUCGGAAUUACUGGGCGUAAAGGGCGCGUAGGCGGCUCUUUAAGUUAGGCGUGAAAGCCCCGGGCUCAACCUGGGAACUGCGCUUAAGACUGGAGAGCUAGAAAACGGAAGAGGGUAGUGGAAUUCCCAGUGUAGAGGUGAAAUUCGUAGAUAUUGGGAAGAACACCAGUGGCGAAAGCGGCUACCUGGUCCGGAUUUGACGCUGAGGCGCGAAAGCGUGGGGAGCAAACAGGAUUAGGUACCCUG
Molecule: ribosomal RNA, 700 nt
Filed under: uncultured bacterium
Lineage: Bacteria
Description: bacterial SSU rRNA
Rfam family: Bacterial small subunit ribosomal RNA
Source: RNAcentral